Ipomoea triloba (trilobed morning glory) is the source of this 858-nucleotide long non-coding RNA. RefSeq lists it as uncharacterized. Lineage: Eukaryota; Viridiplantae; Streptophyta; Magnoliopsida; Solanales; Convolvulaceae. The record is from RefSeq and is a predicted model, not a curated record. The transcript is spliced from 5 exons.
UAAAGUUGUAAAGGAAGCCGAGCAGGACAACCCUCGAAACCAUGGCGGACAAAACCCCAAGCAAAGGAAGCAAUCGAAGAGCAAGGAGGAUUUUUCGAAAGCUUUUAGCAUGGAUAUCUAGAAUUAGAUCGGCGAUCGGCGAUCGGCAAUACAGGAGCCGCCGAGAGGAAGACAGUGACGGUGGCGCCAUCACCGUCGGCGACACCACUCGCGACAGUUCACAGAAGCUAUUCAUCUCCUAAUUGCUUCCAUAGCUGCUCUCCUCGUUGUUCACUGGCCAUUUGUCGCUGCAAAUCUAGAAAGACGACUGGUGGAUAUAGUGAAGACAUGAUACCAAGGCUGGCAUAUUCUUAUGUGAAUGAGAGCUCCUACUGAAGGUUCUUGUGACCAUAUUGCUUCGGUAUAGUCUAUGGAUGAGGUGAAGAUAAGUUUAUGUAUACAACUCUUGAACUACAGAGGAAAUGCAGAGUAUAUUAUCUGUUGUAAGGUAUACAGGCUGAAGGUUGUAUGAGAUAUUAAGAGGAAAGCAAAAAUGAAGAUAUUAGCUUUUCAAUCAAUACAUGCCACCAGUGCCAUGCUCUCCAAGCUCCUCAGGUGUUUGAGUCCUCGAAGAUUCAAAAUACUACAAGAAAAAGUCAUGACUAUCAAUUCUCAUCGAGGGUAAAAAAUGAUAUUCAUUGUCUAGUGAUGAUGUAAAUUCCUUUUGCAUGAAACCGUCAUAUUGAUGAAUAAACUACUAUAUUGCUUUAUAUUUUUCACUUAAAAUAUUUUUCAGUUAUGUAUACAGUUCAAUUAAUAUGUAGACGGUUGGUUGUACAUGAAUAUUGUUUGAUAUUAUUUGACAAAUAUUCGUUACAA